Molecule: ribosomal RNA, 468 nt
Filed under: uncultured bacterium
Lineage: Bacteria
Description: partial 16S ribosomal RNA
Rfam family: Bacterial small subunit ribosomal RNA
Source: RNAcentral
GACGAACGCUGGCGGCGUGCUUAACACAUGCAAGUCGAACGGAAAGGCCCUGCUUUUGUGGGGUGCUCGAGUGGCGAACGGGUGAGUAACACGUGAGUAACCUGCCCUUGACUUUGGGAUAACUUCAGGAAACUGGGGCUAAUACCGGAUAGGAGCUCCUGCUGCAUGGUGGGGGGUGGAAAGUUUCGGCGGGUGGGGAUGGACUCGCGGCUUAUCAGCUUGUUGGUGGGGUAGUGGCUUACCAAGGCUUUGACGGGUAGCCGGCCUGAGAGGGUGACCGGCCACAUUGGGACUGAGAUACGGCCCAGACGCAUACGGGAGGCAGCAGUGGAGAAUAUUGCACGAUGGGCGGAAGCCUGAUGCAGCAACGCCGCGUGCGGGAUGACGGCCUUCGGGUUGUAACCCGCUUUCGCCUGUGACGAAGCGUGAGUGACGGUAAUGGGUAAAGAAGCACCGGCUAACUACGUG